CCUUGCCAGCCCGCUCAGAAACUCAAAGGAAUUGACGGGGGCCCGGCACAAGCGGAGGAGCAUGUGGUUUAAUUUCGAUGAUACGCGAGGAACCUUACCUGGGCUCGAACGUAAGAUGACUGUAGGUGAAAGCUUACAUCUCUUCGGAGCAUUUUACGAGGUGCUGCAUGGUUGUCGUCAGCUCGUGCCGUGAGGUGUCGGGUUAAGUCCCAUAACGAGCGCAACCCCUACCUUUAGUUGCCAUCAGGUUAAGCUGGGGACUCUAAAGGAACUGCCUACGCAAGUAGUGAGGAAGGCGGGGAUGACGUCAAAUCAGCACGGCCCUUACGUCCAGGGCUACACACGUGCUACAAUGGCCGAUACAGAGGGCAGCUACCUGGUGACAGGAUGCAAAUCUCCAAAGUCGGUCUCAGUUCGGAUCGGAGUCUGCAACCCGACUCCGUGAAGUUGGAUUCGCUAGUAAUCGCGCAUCAGCCAUGGCGCGGUGAAUACGUUCCCGGGCCUU
RNAcentral lists this ribosomal RNA (505 nucleotides) under uncultured Sphingobacteriales bacterium. RNAcentral's name for it is "bacterial SSU rRNA". It matches the Rfam family "Bacterial small subunit ribosomal RNA", at positions 903 to 1382 of the family's 1533-position model. The record is from RNAcentral. Lineage: Bacteria; Pseudomonadati; Bacteroidota; Sphingobacteriia; Sphingobacteriales.